AGUUUUUCAGACCAGAUAGAUUCUUGCUCCUUUCCCUUGUGGGAAUAUUAUCAUUAUGUUCUUUUGGAAUUAUUUUACCUCUCUUCAGGCUCUUUUUAGACUAGGAGGUAACUUACGACCAUAUCACAUGACAGGUAAUACUUUAUAACAAAAAGCCAUGUGUAAACAUGACAUGCUUCCCUUGACACAUGCCAGCCUGAUGAAUUAAACCUUAAGAGGAGUUUGUCCCAUUUUAACUUAGUGUGUCUUGACAUGUGCUGACAGCAGUUGUUGAAAUUUGGCUUUAGGGAAUAACUUCCAGACUGUGGGCAGGAGGACAGAAGAGCUGAAGUACGUGAGAUCUAAACCUGGAAGAUGACUGAGGUAGUGUGGAGGAAAUGGAUUCAAACAAACUCGUUUGAAGAAUAUAAGCCAAGCACAGCCAUGGGAUCAAACGUAGAAAUGGAGUGCAAGUUCAUCUACUGUUAGUCACCAUUUUUGAGGAAACAGUGUAAGAAUUCUGACAAAGCUGUAGUUCAGCAUUUUGGCAAGUGCAACGAAAAGAACUGUGUAUAU
This 555-nucleotide long non-coding RNA is filed under the name Anas platyrhynchos platyrhynchos (common mallard). RNAcentral describes it as "lncRNA (ENSAPLG00000025325.1)". The record is from RNAcentral. Lineage: Eukaryota; Metazoa; Chordata; Aves; Anseriformes; Anatidae.